RNAcentral lists this ribosomal RNA (230 nucleotides) under uncultured bacterium. Its description in RNAcentral is "partial 16S ribosomal RNA". It matches the Rfam family "Bacterial small subunit ribosomal RNA", at positions 1273 to 1500 of the family's 1533-position model. The record is from RNAcentral.
CUCAAAAACUUAGUCUCAGUUCGGAUUGUAGGCUGAAACUCGCCUACAUGAAGCUGGAGUUGCUAGUAAUCGCGAAUCAGCAUGUCGCGGUGAAUACGUUCCCGGGCCUUGUACACACCGCCCGUCACACCAUGAGAGUUGGCAAUACCCAACGCACGUGAUCUAACCCGCAAGGGAGGAAGCGUCCUAAGGUAGGGUCAGCGAUUGGGGUGAAGUCGUAACAAGGUACC